GUGUGUGUGUGUGUGUGUGUGUGUGUGUGUGUGUGUGUGUGUGUGUGUGUGUGUGUGUGCGCUUGAACUGCUGACACACUACUCACAUUUCCCAGGGAAACCAACAAGGAAACUCUCGCACUGCACAGCACACAUGAUGCACCACCGUAUUUCAUUUGAGAUCCUUUUUCUUUUUUUUUUUUUACAAAUUGCUUGUGGCUAACAUAAGUAUGGUAGGCAUGACUAAUAACAGUUAUCUUUCUCAGUGUCUGCAGAAAACACCUGACCAACCUCUUCAUUGGGAAUCAAUGUAUUACAUUCCAAAGACUCAAGGUAGAGUGUGUGUGGUGUCGUAUUCUAGGUUGUUGAACUUAGUUGUGUGUUUGUGUGUGUGUGUGUGUGUGUGUGUGUGUGUGUGUGUGAGAUAAAAUGUCUCUCUGCUGUACAAGAUAAAUUCACAUAUUUCUACAAUCAUGGUCCAUUUCUACAGAUGUACAGUUUAAACUCUGGACACUGAUGCUUUCACCCCAAAUGAAUUAGCUAAAGGUAGAUAUGAGAGUGCAGUCAAAGUCUGGUAGCGAGGAUAGUCUGUGUGCUCUCAACAAAUGACUUGCAGUUUGUCAUUUGGUGCUUUUUACUGUACAGAUGGGUAGGUGUGUGUGUUUGUGUAUGCACUAGUUAAAUCACGGUGCUAGGAAAGACCUUGUCAGUCUUGAGUCAGAAUCAGGGACCUGUUUUGUGUGUGUGUAUGUGUGAGAAAGAGAGACUGUGUUUCUCACUCAUCGGGCUAUAGAGUGAAUCGGAUUUUUAAAUGACAUUUCACCGUCGAAAUCAUUUCAUUAACUGUGGUCACAUUUCAGAAUGAACGGUCACUGUAAUGUCAGCAUUGAUCGUUUCAGGCUUGAGGAGUGUACACAGCUGAUGAUAAUUAUAUUACAGUGAGGACAACUUGGACUGAAAACCCUUCCUCAGAUCAGAGCUGUUCGGAUCGUCUUUUUCAUUUCAUUUUCAAGUCGGUGCCAGUUUGUAGGCGGUGCUCGGUUCUGGCUUGUUGUUAUUUAUUCAGGCUUUCAAAAAAAAAAAAAAAAAAAAAAAGAUGGAAAAAACAAAAAAGAAGCUUGACAUUACCUUCACUUGUGUGUUGAGGCGAGGUUCCCUCGUCUUGUUUUUGACGUGCAUCAGUUGCACAGUAGCACAUUACCCAGAGGGCUGAAGAUGUGUGAAGCUGGUCUACUAUUUUUCAAGAGGCACGCUGGGAGAACAUGGCCCCAUGGGGAGAAAGAAGAAAGUAAUUUUAAAUUCAGCUACUUGUGUCAUUUAAGAAAAAAGAAAGGACUGACUUAAGAUCUGUGGGUGUCGGUUGAUAUCAGUAGCAUGACUCAGCACCUAAUCUGUCUUGUUAUGGUUCUGCUAUUUUGAACGUAACCCAGUGAAUUUGGCGUAGGUGGAAACAUUGUUCCUCUGAGACACCUCACAUCUAUCUCUGUCUGUGUCCUGCAUUUCCUACUGUUAUGUGCAGGACACACGUUUGUUUGCUUUAGGUCACUUAACAGCUGACCUGACUUCAAAUGACUUGACCGGUAAUUUCAUUUUAUUGCCUUGAGAAGAUAAAAUCUGGUUUUAAAUCAGUUGGUUAAAGGGCACCCUCCACCUCUUCAAGAUUACAGGGUCACACUCGGGGUCAGAGGUCAGAUCUAAAGGUUCAAAGUAGCCUAGAGGUAAAUGCUCCUUUCCUAAACACUGGGGACACUAGCAGUCAUAGUUUACUGAAGCGGGGUGGUGGACUGUUGUCUGACAUUAGACAAGAUCUGGGUGCAAAUACAUUAUUGUACUGCUGCUGGACAUAAUGUCCUGUUAUCACAUUUAACUACUAUUUGGCUCCACUUUGCACUACAUCUAAUAGUGGAUGCUUCUGGUGAGGAGUGGUUACAGACAGGGUGCAGAAAUAAUGUUUUUCGCAGGUAUUUCUUCUACAAUCUGGAGUAAAUACUACAAGGGUGGAACCUGCUGUGGCUCAGUUAUGUGAUAGUGAGAGUAAGAGAUGGCCCCUCUCUGAGACUUAAGACAAAUCAGUAUGACACAUCAAAAAAGAAAAGAAGAAAUCAAAACAGAGGUUGUAAAUGAUGACUAGAGAUGCCAUUACGUGCUGUAAAUGUCCAUCAUUCCUUGUUUUCUUUCUUGCAUUUCUUUUCUUUGAUUAUGAUUAUUAAGAUGUAAGAAUACUGUAGUAUCAUAAGUGAAUCAUUCUUCCUUGCUAGGCAUAGAACUUGCUUGUGACUGAUAAUGACAAUGUGUAACUUGUAAAAAAAAAAAAAAAAAAAAAAGCAAAAUAAUUAAAAAAACAUGAAAAAUGAAGAAAAUAAGUUUAAAAAAAAUCUGUUAUCAGUCAGAGGCCAAGGUAAAGGACUCUCAUUUCUUUGUGUUUUUAUUUUUUUAUUAGCAAUUUAUCACUGUGUGAUAUUUUGUACAUCAUAUUAAGCUGUAUUCAAACUAUUUCCUCUAACUACAAGGGAUAAGAGACCUGCUUUUUAUUAAUUUUGUUUUAUUAUAUAUUUUUGAACUGCAUUCUAGCUUGUAUCAAAUGACUUUCUCUUUUUGUUUACGGGUCCCCUGUUGUACGUCAUUAAGGAAGAAAAAACAAAAAAUGAAGAUUUUGUACAGUGAA
Long non-coding RNA from Sander lucioperca (pikeperch), 2644 nucleotides. RefSeq lists it as uncharacterized. The transcript is spliced from 2 exons. The record is from RefSeq and is a predicted model, not a curated record. NCBI's taxonomy places the organism in Eukaryota, Metazoa, Chordata, Actinopteri, Perciformes, Percidae.